This is a non-coding RNA of Neonectria punicea, 82 nucleotides long. The record is from the annotation of a GenBank genome assembly. Lineage: Eukaryota; Fungi; Ascomycota; Sordariomycetes; Hypocreales; Nectriaceae.
GGUCGCGUAGCCCAGAGGCCUAAGGCGUUUGCUUUACAUCCGUGUACGCAAAAGAUCGCAGGUUCGAUCCCUGCCGCGAUCA